GAGGACAUUCGUUUCUACACCAGAUUUGCCACAUACAAGCAUUUCCUUGCCUUUUGGAAAUUGGUGGAGCCAGCAGCCAACACCAAGAUGGUGCGGAUCACCAACGCCAAGGCAUCCUCUGCCAGCAGCUCGGAUUCCUCUCAACCAACAACAACGAAACUUCCACCCAUAGAUGAGCUGCUGCUGUUCCUCAUGCACCUGUCAGUGGGCCUACAUCUGAGGGAUCUAGCAGAACGGUUUGGCAUUCACCGCACCACAGUCAGCAGAAUUAUUUCCACCUGGACACACUUCCUGUACCAACUGCUUGGAAGCCAACGUCUGUGGAUCCCACGCGAAGU
Long non-coding RNA from Trematomus bernacchii (emerald rockcod), 338 nucleotides. RefSeq lists it as uncharacterized. The record is from RefSeq and is a predicted model, not a curated record. The transcript is spliced from 3 exons. Lineage: Eukaryota; Metazoa; Chordata; Actinopteri; Perciformes; Nototheniidae.